CGUAGGCUUGUGGAGCAGGAAAAUCCGUUUCACUUUAAGGCUGAGAUCCGACGACGAAAGCCGCAAGGCUGUAAAGUGACUGAUCCUCGGCUGCCAAGAAAACCCUCUAAGCAUAGGUAUAUUCAAACCGUACCGUAAACCGACACAGGUAGGUGAGAAGAGAAUUCUAAGGCGCUUGAGAGAAACCACGUUAAGGAACUCUGCAAAUUGAGUCCGUAACUUCGGGAUAAGGACUGCCGAUAUUAGGUGAAGUGAUUUACUCACAGAGCUGAGGUCGGCCCCAGAAAAGAGGUCCAGGCGACUGUUUACCAAAAACACAGCACUAUGCAAACACGUAAGUGGACGUAUAUGGUGUGACUCCUGCCCGGUGCCGGAAGGUUAAGAGGAGGGGUUAGACUUCGGUCGAAGCUCUGAAUUGAAGCCCCGGUAAACGGCGGCCGUAACUAUAACGGUCCUAAGGUAGCGAAAUUCCUUGUCGGGUAAGUUCCGACCUGCACGAAAGGAGUAACGAUCUGGACGCUGUCUCAACGUGGUUCUCAGUGAAAUUGAAAUAGCGGUGAAGAUACCGUUAACCCGCGGCAAGACGGAAAGACCCCGUGAACCUUUACUGCAGCUUGGCAUUGAAUUUUGGAAUAUUGUGUGCAGGAUAGGUAGGAGACAUUGAAUAGGAGACGCUAGUCUUCUAGGAGUCACUGUUGAGAUACUACCCUCGGUAUUUUAGGGUUCUAACUUUGGUCCCUUAUCGGGAUUGAGGACAGUGUCUGGUGGGCGGUUUGACUGGGGCGGUCACCUCCUAAAGAGUAACGGAGGUGUGCAAAGGUAAUUUUAAGAAAGUUUUUACUUUUCUUUAAUGUACAAUGGCGUAAAAGUGCCUGACUGUGAGAUUAACAAAUCAAACAGGGACGCAAGUCGGCCAUAGCGAUCCGGUAUUUCUGUGUGGAAAGGGUAUCGCCAACGGAUAAAAGGUACGCCAGGGAUAACAGGCUAAUGGCUCCUAAGAGUUCCUAUCGCCGGAGCCGUUUGGCACCUCGAUGUCGGCUUAUCACAUCCCGGAGCUGGAGAAGGUUCCAAGGGUUCGGUUGUUCGCCGAUUAAAGUGGUACGUGAGCUGGGUUUAGAACGUCGUAAGACAGUUUGGUCCCUAUCUACUGUAAGUGUAAGAAAAUUGAAAAGAUUAUUCUCUAGUACGAGAGGACCGAGAAACGCAAAUCUCUGGUGUGCUGGUUGUCCCCUAUGCAAUGUCAGGUAGCUAUAUUUGUUUUAGAUAACUGCUGAAAGCAUCUAAGUAGGAAACUGACUUUAAGAUCAUUUUUCUGUGAACCGUAAAAGAAGAUUACUUAAAUUAUGAUAGAUCCCUCGUAGAAGAUUGAUAUUUGUAAAUAAUCUUUAAGCGUAAGAUAUGAAAACUAAAGGUUUUAAAGAUUUGAUUGU
Molecule: ribosomal RNA, 1430 nt
Filed under: invertebrate metagenome
Description: bacterial LSU rRNA
Rfam family: Bacterial large subunit ribosomal RNA
Source: RNAcentral